GGCAUUUGAAGUAGAGAUUGUGCUGCUACACGCCCAUUGGGCCAAAAGAAAUGCGGGAAAGGGCACACCCGCCAAGUGCG
This 80-nucleotide non-coding RNA is filed under the name unclassified sequences. RNAcentral describes it as "skipping-rope RNA". It matches the Rfam family "skipping-rope RNA". From Rfam's summary of the family: Firmicutes, Fusobacteria, AlphaProteobacteria, Spirochaetes. Downstream gene The record is from Rfam by way of RNAcentral.